RNAcentral lists this ribosomal RNA (497 nucleotides) under uncultured bacterium. Its description in RNAcentral is "partial 16S ribosomal RNA". It matches the Rfam family "Bacterial small subunit ribosomal RNA", at positions 28 to 507 of the family's 1533-position model. The record is from RNAcentral.
GACGAACGCCGGCGGCGUGCCUAAUACAUGCAAGUAGAACGCUGAAGAGAGGAGCUUACUCUUCUUGGAUGAGUUGCGAACGGGUGAGUAACGCGUAGGUAACCUGCCUUGUAGCGGGGGAUAACUAUUGGAAACGAUAGCUAAUACCGCAUAACAAUGGAUGACACAUGUCAUUUAUUUGAAAGGGGCAAUUGCUCCACUACAAGAUGGACCUGCGUUGUAUUAGCUAGUAGGUGAGGUAAUGGCUCACCUAGGCGACGAUACAUAGCCGACCUGAGAGGGUGAUCGGCCACACUGGGACUGAGACACGGCCCAGACUCCUACGGGAGGCAGCAGUAGGGAAUCUUCGGCAAUGGGGGCAACCCUGACCGAGCAACGCCGCGUGAGUGAAGAAGGUUUUCGGAUCGUAAAGCUCUGUUGUAAGUCAAGAACGGGUGUGAGAGUGGAAAGUUCACAGUGUGACGGUAGCUUACCAGAAAGGGACGGCUAACUACGUG